GUGCCCCCUUCAGCAGCACAUACACUAAAGCUGGCAGGGUACACAGAGAUUAGCAUGGUCCCUAUGUAGGAUGACACCAAAUUCAUGAAGCAUUCCAAGUUUUU
This 104-nucleotide small nuclear RNA is filed under the name Microtus ochrogaster (prairie vole). The record is from RNAcentral. Lineage: Eukaryota; Metazoa; Chordata; Mammalia; Rodentia; Cricetidae.